UCCGGUGACUAGUAACUUUGUUGGAAACACUUAACCCCGUUUAGUAGGGCCCGCUGAGGAGCUUGUCUCUUUAUUGUCUCCUUUUUUGUCUCUUUAGCUCGCUGGAGAGGCACUGCCCAUCCCAAGGUCGGGCGCCGGGAGAAGGCCAGCCCGGCGGUCGCCGCGCGGCGGGGAGGCCGGAUGGGAAGGAGACCGCGGUUGAGGGGACAGGGACGGGGGCUCGUCGGGCGGUCGCGGCGGCUGGUCUGGAGGCGGGAAGGAGGAGGCGGCGAGGAGGAGACGUCCACAUCGGACGGCUCCACUUCUGAACCCUGCUCUAUUACCGUUCGAAGCGACUAAGGAAGAACCGGCUAGAACUGCUUGAAAGUCUGUUACUUCAGAUAGGGUACUCAACUAAAGACACAGAUGACGCAUUGGUACAAAAUUUUCCUAUGUAAACAACCGUUAAGGAAUUAGACAACAGUUUAAAGUCCUUCUUCUGUUGCGACUCCGUCACCCACACCUGCUUCUACCAUUGCUACUAUACGGACUGGAGCUCAGAGAAUUAAUACUACUAGAACUGUCACAGAGUUUUGAUGUCUUCUGUGUUACAAUAUAACUGUAUUACGUUCAGGUAAACGACGCAGUCUUUCAGCUUCCUCGCGAACUCUUUCCGUGUCUAAACAGAUUAGUUCCCAAGUAGGACCUCCUCCUAGGUCUCAUGGUCGAGUAACAUCGAACGUUACGAAAUAGUCAUCUAUAACUCUUACUUGAGUAAUAUUAGGUAUUAAAGUAUGCACUAUUCAUAGCCGACUUCACAGGACUUGACCUUAGGGAACAAGUAGUAGGCUAACUAAUACGGGCAGAACAAUUCUUCUAGCGGUUACUCUACCUAAGUUGUGAUCAUCUAGACCUUCCCGAAAAUGGAAGACGUCAAUAUUACCAACAGAGACACUGUCGCAGCUGUUGAUCACCCUUCGGAGAAAGACUCCUCUUAAACCAUUUUUGGUAACUUCGUACACUGUCUCGGGAAUUAGAACUACGACGUUUCUUCUUCCACGAACUAAAACAACUCCCAUCUUACCAAAUGUAGCGUGGUUUGGAAAGACCGUAACAACCGUCACGACAACGACGAUUUGACUACCCCUAACGACCACCAAACCCUCGUGAACGUUUUUACGGACUCGUUACAAGUCAAUGAACCUCCUUUCUUCUUUUUGGAGCGACCUAAAAGAUGACGGUGUAGAGUCAAAGCACAACCGAUAGAACUUGUUUGGCUUCAUAAAGUCUCGUGGGGAGGUCGGGACUCCUGGGCACGAACGUCCGAAUAUCGACGUUUCAGCUGAGAUCGUCGUUCUUAGCUAAACUAAUCUCCACUAGGUUGACCUUUUCGACCAGCGUUGAACAAUCUUCUUUAGGCAUUCUUCUAGCUCUUCACCGUCCUUGGUGGAGGACGUUUCGAAGGUUUUGGUGAAGGACAUGGUCUGAGGCUCGGAUUUUUCUUCUUUCCCCCAGCGGCGGAAACUUUUUACUUUCUUUCUAUACGCCAUUGACUAUACUACUUCGAACGUUUGGCUUACGUCAAACCUUAUGGUCUCCUCUCGAGUAAUCCACUACCAAACCCCCUUCCAAUACCGUACGAGCCCGUCCGGCCUUCACCCUUCGAUGCACAGAGUCGACGUGUCUUGUUUGAACGACGAUUUCACCGUUUUUUUAAGUUCCUCUUCUCAACACCAUCGUCACCACGUUGUAGACCUGACUGUAGAUCAAACCGGAAAUGUGGUCAAGUCCCUUAUCUUGACAGUUUGGGUGUCCGUGUGCCCUUGGAAGAGCCUUCACCUUAGGUCUCGUGGAUGAAGAGCCUCUGGCCGUGUAAAAGAGCCUAGCCAUCCGGACCUCCAAUCUUAGACUUUUUCAUUCUUGGACUAAAACUCUAGUCUUGCUACUAACAAAGAACCAGGUUCGUUAAAGUAGGGUAAGACGUGUGUUAAGGGUUCUUGGUUGACAACCCUACGUGAACGCGUGUUGGUCGAACAUUAUAAGAGUCUACAUAGCGUACCAGACAUUACAUUCAUGUCAAAGGGACGUUUUUUCUUUUUACAUUCAUGUCAAGCGCGUGAUGUUGUAGUGUUACAUACUUCAGUCCGUCAUGUGUUGUAAGUAAUGGAUACGAAGCUCGCACCUAUUAAAAAGAUCUUUUGGACAACCUUAAUGGAACAGACUUUGACAACUUAAGGUUUACAACCUAACAAGGUAUGGUAAGUUGGCUCAACUCGAGGUCCGUUCUACUAUUAACACUAACUGGAAAAACUCCUUUAUUAAAAAGAGGCUUCACCUUUUGGUAGUACAACACUAGAUC
Molecule: ribosomal RNA, 2338 nt
Filed under: Triticum aestivum (bread wheat)
Lineage: Eukaryota; Viridiplantae; Streptophyta; Magnoliopsida; Poales; Poaceae
Description: partial small subunit ribosomal RNA
Source: RNAcentral